GGUCCGAUAGCUCAACUGGAUAGAGCAACUGCCUUCUAAGCAGUAGGUUCCAGGUUCGAGUCCUGGUCGGAUCA
Flammeovirga sp. SJP92 is the source of this 74-nucleotide transfer RNA. It matches the Rfam family "tRNA". Rfam says of the family: Transfer RNA (tRNA) molecules are approximately 80 nucleotides in length. The record is from Rfam. NCBI's taxonomy places the organism in Bacteria, Pseudomonadati, Bacteroidota, Cytophagia, Cytophagales, Flammeovirgaceae.